GAAAUCGCGGCCGGCAAUGAUGAAGAUCCGGGGAAAGGCUGAUAAGGCGCUCCUGCGAACCGGGGGAGGGGGAUGUGAACGCUUCCCCACCUCGGGAAUUACAGGAAAACAAUCCGAAGCAGGCUGAUCCCAUUUAUCCGGCAGCUGGGCACCGGCCAGAACCUAUGGACAGCGGCCUCUCUGCCAUCUGCUCUUCGGGCACGUACAAGGAGGUUUAAUUACAACCAAGUGCCCUCCGAGGGACAGGGCAUCCCUGCCAAAGCUGAGAGGGAACGGUUUAACAGAGCUGGAAAUUAAGCAAAGCCAAUUUUUUUUUUUUUUAAUUACAAGCCGAUUAAACUUUUGAACUGA
Molecule: non-coding RNA, 351 nt
Organism: Agelaius phoeniceus (red-winged blackbird)
Lineage: Eukaryota; Metazoa; Chordata; Aves; Passeriformes; Icteridae
Source: RefSeq, a predicted model, not a curated record